RNAcentral lists this long non-coding RNA (1320 nucleotides) under Elaeis guineensis (African oil palm). Its description in RNAcentral is "long non-coding RNA (EGUI_LNC058365)". Lineage: Eukaryota; Viridiplantae; Streptophyta; Magnoliopsida; Arecales; Arecaceae. The record is from RNAcentral.
GCCCCAUAGCUCAAUCAAAUUGAGCCACUUAGCAAUCCAAUUGCUAAUUAAUCCUCCUAUAACUCACUAACUCUUUAACGAGUUACUUGAUUGUAACUUUUGCAUUGGAUCAAUCAUUAAUCAAAUUGAUAAUCAAAUCCUAUCACGAUUCAUAAUUGUAAUUCAACCAUCUGAUCAGUCAAAAAUUUUUUUUGUGUGUGAUCUAUAGGUUCUAUUCUGUCUGAUAGUGAGAUAUAUUGUGAUCCUUAUCACAAUAUCAUUGAAACUCUUUUCAAUAGGUUGAAACUAUUCCAACACUAUCCACCAAAGAUCAUCAAUCAUCAAGAUAAUGCUUGUGAGUCUCACAAUCCAUCAAUGACAUCUAGCAGUAUGUAGUGACAACCCAGCAGAAUAAAAGAUGAUAAACCUCUAGGUGCAGUUAACGUAUGAUACAGUCCUUCUAUCAUAAGUUCCGAUCAAAUAGCAAGUCAUGGAUAAAUCGUCAAACCUCAAUAUCGAUCAUAUGAUACGUUCAAUCAGCUCGAGUCCAUAUGUGAUUUUAUGAAAAUUCUUUUCCAUUAAUCAUAUUGCUAUGGCCAUAGAGUUAAAGACUCAACCUCCUAAAUCUCAUAGGACUACUUUCUUCUGCUAAGAUCGAUAAAUCUCAUCUUGAUGUACACUCUACUCCUACAGUGGACCAACUGUCGUCAACAUCCACUACAAUGACUCAUUGAGAUCUAUGUUGAUAUGUUAAUCAAACUCCAGCAGCCUCGCUCCGAGCAGUAGUGCCAUCUCAGGUCAAACGAUCAAUCAUACAACUACAGCAUCGAUAAAGUCACUAACAAGUGAGCAGACAUCCAUGUGACUUUUCGUGUUGGUCACGCUCAGUGCUAGUUGUUCUCUAAUAACCACCUGUCCUCUCGCUUUAGUGUCACUACAUCACAGACUCGAGACCCAUCUGUCUGAAGGAAACGAUCUGUGCACUGAUCUAUCUGGAUCAAUCACCAUCCCUAUGAUGAUCCUAUGACUAGGAUUAAUUUAGGAAUCAACCAUCAAUGACACAUGUUUCAAAUUUUCAACUCUUUGAGAAUAUGUGUCUUCAUCUUGUUAAUCCUUUGAAUGAUUCAUGGACAUAUAAACAUGAAUGAUAAUAUAAAUGCUCAAUAAGUACAAAACUAUAUCUUAAAAAUAUGAUAUAUGUCAGUCAAGAUUGACUUAUAGAACAUACAUCCAACAUUGAUCCCAAGGAAAAACUCCCAUUUGGGUGCAACCCAAGUUGCUAGUGAUCUCAAUCAAGUCUUUUUUGACCUAAUCAAGUCCAAUUCAAGUGUAUUAGGGGCU